UUCUUAUCCAGAGAGAUGGAGGGACUAGGCCCAAUGAUAUCUCGGCAACAGAUUCAUUUAUGAAAACUGUGCCAAUUCCUACAAGUGCGAUAUGCAUUUGAAAGAUGAGAA
This 111-nucleotide non-coding RNA is filed under the name Amphibacillus xylanus. Its description in RNAcentral is "SAM-I sequence". It matches the Rfam family "SAM riboswitch aptamer (S box leader)". From Rfam's summary of the family: The SAM riboswitch is found upstream of a number of genes which code for proteins involved in methionine or cysteine biosynthesis in Gram-positive bacteria. The SAM riboswitch acts at the level of transcription termination control. The predicted structure consists of a complex stem-loop region followed by a single stem loop terminator region. Lineage: Bacteria; Bacillati; Bacillota; Bacilli; Caryophanales; Bacillaceae. The record is from RNAcentral. RNAcentral also lists the same sequence under 1 other name.